RNAcentral lists this ribosomal RNA (651 nucleotides) under Microcella alkaliphila. Its description in RNAcentral is "bacterial SSU rRNA". It matches the Rfam family "Bacterial small subunit ribosomal RNA", at positions 66 to 726 of the family's 1533-position model. The record is from RNAcentral. Lineage: Bacteria; Bacillati; Actinomycetota; Actinomycetes; Micrococcales; Microbacteriaceae.
ACGAUGAAGGCAGGAGCUUGCUUUUGCUGGAUUAGUGGCGAACGGGUGAGUAACACGUGAGUAACCUGCCCUUGACUCUGGGAUAAGCGUUGGAAACGACGUCUAAUACCGGAUACGAGCUAGGACCGCAUGGUCACUAGCUGGAAAGAAUUUUGGUCAAGGAUGGACUCGCGGCCUAUCAGCUAGUUGGUGAGGUAACGGCCCACCAAGGCGACGACGGGUAGCCGGCCUGAGAGGGUGACCGGCCACACUGGGACUGAGACACGGCCCAGACUCCUACGGGAGGCAGCAGUGGGGAAUAUUGCACAAUGGGCGAAAGCCUGAUGCAGCAACGCCGCGUGAGGGACGACGGCCUUCGGGUUGUAAACCUCUUUUAGCAGGGAAGAAGCGAAAGUGACGGUACCUGCAGAAAAAGCACCGGCUAACUACGUGCCAGCAGCCGCGGUAAUACGUAGGGUGCAAGCGUUGUCCGGAAUUAUUGGGCGUAAAGAGCUCGUAGGCGGUUUGUCGCGUCUGCUGUGAAAAUCCGAGGCUCAACCUCGGACCUGCAGUGGGUACGGGCAAACUAGAGUGCGGUAGGGGAGAUUGGAAUUCCUGGUGUAGCGGUGGAAUGCGCAGAUAUCAGGAGGAACACCAAUGGCGAAGGCAGAU